Molecule: ribosomal RNA, 498 nt
Filed under: uncultured bacterium
Lineage: Bacteria
Description: partial 16S ribosomal RNA
Rfam family: Bacterial small subunit ribosomal RNA
Source: RNAcentral
AUUGAACGCUGGCGGCAUGCUUUACACAUGCAAGUCGAACGGUAACAGGCCGCAAGGUGCUGACGAGUGGCGAACGGGUGAGUAAUGCAUCGGAACGUGCCCCGUCGUGGGGGAUAACGCAGCGAAAGCUGUGCUAAUACCGCAUACGAUCUAUGGAUGAAAGCGGGGGCCCGUAAUGCCUCGCGCGAUUGGAGCGGACGAUGCAAGAUUAGGUAGUUGGUGAGGUAAAGGCUCACCAAGCCAACGAUCUGUAACUGGUCUGAGAGGACGACCAGCAACACUGGAACUGUGACACGGCCCAGGCUCCUACGGGACGCAGCAGUGGGGAAUUUUGGACAAUGGGCGAAAGCCUGAUCCAGCAAUGCCGCGUGCAGGAAGAAGGCCUUCGGGUUGUAAACUGCUUUUGUACGGACCGAAAAGGUUUGGGUUAAUACCCUGGGCCGAUGACGGUACCGUAAGAAUAAGCACCGGCUAACUACGUGCCAGCCGCCGCCGUAA